This 253-nucleotide ribosomal RNA is filed under the name uncultured bacterium. RNAcentral describes it as "partial 16S ribosomal RNA". It matches the Rfam family "Bacterial small subunit ribosomal RNA", at positions 524 to 776 of the family's 1533-position model. The record is from RNAcentral.
GACGAAGGUGGCGGCCGUUGUUCGGAAUCACUGGGCAUAAAGAGCACGUAGGCGGCAAGGUAUGUCGGGUGUGAAAUCCCUCGGCCUAACCGAGGAAUUGCGCCCGAAACUACCUUGCUUGAGGAUGGAAGGGGAGCGUGGAAUUCCUGGUGGAGCGGUGAAAUGCGUUGAUAUCAGGAGGAACACCGGCGGCGAAGGCGACGCUCUGGUCCAUUACUGACGCUGAGGUGCGAAAGCCAGGGGAGCAAUCGGG